UGCUAUGAUGAUGAGAUCGAUAAUCUCGUUAAUCUGAUGAAUAAAUCAUUCAUGAGGAUAGCUUUUCUCAUCCAUUCAAUAUUCCUUCUGAGC
Molecule: small nucleolar RNA, 93 nt
Organism: Vigna angularis (adzuki bean)
Lineage: Eukaryota; Viridiplantae; Streptophyta; Magnoliopsida; Fabales; Fabaceae
Rfam family: Small nucleolar RNA U30
Source: Rfam